RNAcentral lists this ribosomal RNA (451 nucleotides) under uncultured bacterium. Its description in RNAcentral is "bacterial SSU rRNA". It matches the Rfam family "Bacterial small subunit ribosomal RNA", at positions 28 to 523 of the family's 1533-position model. The record is from RNAcentral.
AACGAACGCUGGCGGCAUGCCUAACACAUGCAAGUCGAGCGCCCGUAGCAAUACGGGAGCGGCGCACGGGUGAGUAACGCGUGGGAACCUGCCCAGAGGUUCGGGACAACCGCGGGAAACUGCGGCUGAUACCGGAUGAUACCUGAGGGUCAAAGAUUUAUCGCCUUUGGAGGGGCCCGCGUCGGAUUAGGUAGUUGGUGGGGUAACGGCCUACCAAGCCUAUGAUCCGUAACUGGUCUGAGAGGAUGACCAGUCACACUGGGACUGAGACACGGCCCAGACUCCUACGGGAGGCAGCAGUGGGGAGUAUUGGACAAUGGGGGCAACCCUGAUCCAGCAAUGCCGCGUGGGUGAUGAAGGCCUUCGGGUUGUAAAGCCCUUUCGGCGGGGACGAUGAUGACGGUACCCGCAGAAGAAGCCCCGGCUAACUUCGUGCCAGCAGCCGCGGUAA